Molecule: ribosomal RNA, 363 nt
Filed under: uncultured soil bacterium
Lineage: Bacteria
Description: bacterial SSU rRNA
Rfam family: Bacterial small subunit ribosomal RNA
Source: RNAcentral
GACACAGGUGCUGCAUGGCUGUCGUCAGCUCGUGUCGUGAGAUGUUGGGUUAAGUCCCGCAACGAGCGCAACCCUUGUCCUUAGUUGCCAGCACGUAAUGGUGGGAACUCUAAGGAGACCGCCGGUGACAAACCGGAGGAAGGGGGGGAUGACGUCAAGUCAUCAUGGCCCUUACGGCCAGGGCUACACACGUACUACAAUGGUGGGGACAGAGGGCUGCAAACCGGCGACGGUGAGCCAAUCCCAAAAACCCCAUCUCAGUCCGGAUCGGAGUCUGCAACUCGACUCCGUGAAGUCGGAAUCGCUAGUAAUCGCAGAUCAGCAUUGCUGCGGUGAAUACUUUCCCGGGUCUUGUACACACCG